Molecule: ribosomal RNA, 252 nt
Filed under: uncultured bacterium
Lineage: Bacteria
Description: partial 16S ribosomal RNA
Rfam family: Bacterial small subunit ribosomal RNA
Source: RNAcentral
ACGGGUGAGUAACGCGUGGGUAACCUGCCUUAUACAGGGGGAUAACAGUCAGAAAUGGCUGCUAAUACCGCAUAAGCGCACAGAGCUGCAUGGCUCAGUGUGAAAACUCCGGUGGUAUAAGAUGGACCCGCGUUGGAUUAGCUUGUUGGUGGGGUAACGGCCCACCAAGGCGACGAUCCAUAGCCGGCCUGAGAGGGUGAACGGCCACAUUGGGACUGAGACACGGCCCAGACUCCUACGGGAGGCAGCAUG